This is a long non-coding RNA of Patella vulgata (common limpet), 850 nucleotides long. RefSeq lists it as uncharacterized. The record is from RefSeq and is a predicted model, not a curated record. NCBI's taxonomy places the organism in Eukaryota, Metazoa, Mollusca, Gastropoda, Patellidae. The transcript is spliced from 5 exons.
CUUACAUUGAUUUCGUCAAACGGUCGGGUGUAUAUUUAGAAGUAGACGCUCAUCAUGAAGGUUUUUAUGGUACCCAUCUUGUUUGUUCUAAUAGACACGACAUCAGGUGCCUUUAAUGCGGCUCUCAAUAAACCAACGACUCUCAGUUCAGUUGGAUGGGGCGGUGUUUCCUCUAGAGCGGUAGAUGGCAAUACUAGUCCUAUCUAUGACGACCUGAGUUGCGUGCACAGUGAUCAAUACAUGAAACCGGAUACUCAAUGGUUGUGUGUUGAUCUAAAGGAGAGUUUUACUAUCGGUAGCAUUAAGAUAUUUAACAGAAAAAAUUAUGGAAAUCGUCUGGAUGGAUUUGAGGUUAGGUUGAGUUCUAGUGGUAAGUGUGAUAGUUCCGGAUUUACAUCAGCUACGCAAUGCUAUAAAGACGACAAAGCAUCACCAGGAAACCUAACAUAUACCAUAAAGAAAUGUAAUGUGACAGAUUUACCAUCAUUUGCUGGCAGAUAUGUUUAUAUAUCCGUUGGAAAAUCAUCUCCUCAACCUCCAAUAUUGACCGUAUGUGAACUACAAAUAUUUACAGAAAACUGUCCUAAUGGCUAUUACGGUACCAACUGUGAUCAGCCGUGUGUUAACUGUAAAGAUGCAUGUCAACGAUCAGAUGGUAUUUGUUUGAAUGGUUGCAAACCAGGAUAUUGGGGAAAGGAUGGUUCCUGUCAUCAGGAAUGCCCCAAGUCCUGUAGAGAAGGCUGUUAACUAAAUGUUGGUACCUGUUUCGCCUGAUACAUUGGUGAUCUCACUGCCCUGAUAUGAACCUUUAUCUAAUUUAGUUAGAAACUUGCUCUUAUUUCACUGGGAA